GGCAGUUCUCGGGUGACACACCCAGGAAUCGGGCUCCUUUCUCUUUGGUCUGGUGCAUCACCCAAGGACUGCA
Myotis davidii is the source of this 73-nucleotide non-coding RNA. The record is from Rfam. NCBI's taxonomy places the organism in Eukaryota, Metazoa, Chordata, Mammalia, Chiroptera, Vespertilionidae.